CCUACGAGUGGCAGCAGUGAGGAAUAUUGGUCAAUGGACGAGAGUCUGAACCAGCCACGUCGCGUGAAGGAUGACUGCCCUAUGGGUUUUAAACUUCUUUUAUAUGGGAAUAAAUUGUUCCACGUGUGGGAUUAUGUAUGUACCAUAUGAAUAAGUAUCGGCUAACUCCGUGCCAGCAGCCGCGGUAAUACGGAGUCUCCGAGCGUUAUCCGGAAUUAUUGGGAUUAAAGGGAGCGUAGAGGGGUUGUUAAGUCAGUUGUGAAAGGUUGCGGCUCAACCGUAGAAGUGCAAUUGAUACUGGCAGACUAGAGUACAGUAGAGGUAGGCGGAAUUCGUGGUGUAGCGGUGAAAUGCGUAGAUAUCACGAAGAACCCUCAUUGCGAAGGCAGCUUACUAAACUGUGACUGACAUUGAUGCUCGAAAGUGUGGGUAUCAAACAGGAUUAGAUACCCCAGUAGUC
RNAcentral lists this ribosomal RNA (460 nucleotides) under uncultured bacterium. Its description in RNAcentral is "partial 16S ribosomal RNA". It matches the Rfam family "Bacterial small subunit ribosomal RNA", at positions 338 to 795 of the family's 1533-position model. The record is from RNAcentral.